Molecule: ribosomal RNA, 667 nt
Filed under: Alteromonas sp.
Lineage: Bacteria; Pseudomonadati; Pseudomonadota; Gammaproteobacteria; Alteromonadales; Alteromonadaceae
Description: bacterial SSU rRNA
Rfam family: Bacterial small subunit ribosomal RNA
Source: RNAcentral
UGAUGCAGCCAUGCCGCGUGUGUGAAGAAGGCCUUCGGGUUGUAAAGCACUUUCAGUUGUGAGGAAAAGUUAGUAGUUAAUACCUGCUAACCGUGACGUUAACAACAGAAGAAGCACCGGCUAACUCCGUGCCAGCAGCCGCGGUAAUACGGAGGGUGCGAGCGUUAAUCGGAAUUACUGGGCGUAAAGCGCACGCAGGCGGUUUGUUAAGCUAGAUGUGAAAGCCCCGGGCUCAACCUGGGAUGGUCAUUUAGAACUGGCAGACUAGAGUCUUGGAGAGGGGAGUGGAAUUCCAGGUGUAGCGGUGAAAUGCGUAGAUAUCUGGAGGAACAUCAGUGGCGAAGGCGACUCCCUGGCCAAAGACUGACGCUCAUGUGCGAAAGUGUGGGUAGCGAACAGGAUUAGAUACCCUGGUAGUCCACACCGUAAACGCUGUCUACUAGCUGUUUGUGACUUUAAGUCGUGAGUAGCGAAGCUAACGCGCUAAGUAGACCGCCUGGGGAGUACGGCCGCAAGGUUAAAACUCAAAUGAAUUGACGGGGGCCCGCACAAGCGGUGGAGCAUGUGGUUUAAUUCGAUGCAACGCGAAGAACCUUACCUACACUUGACAUGCAGAGAACUUUCUAGAGAUAGAUUGGUGCCUUCGGGAACUCUGACACAGGUGCUG